This 95-nucleotide microRNA precursor is filed under the name Bombyx mori (domestic silkworm). RNAcentral's name for it is "microRNA bmo-mir-274 precursor". Its record names the gene bmo-mir-274. It matches the Rfam family "mir-274 microRNA precursor family". Lineage: Eukaryota; Metazoa; Arthropoda; Insecta; Lepidoptera; Bombycidae. The record is from miRBase by way of RNAcentral.
GGCUGUUGUUAGGCGAAGUUGGUUUGUGACCGUCACUAACGGGCAGUGUUAAUACGGUUGCUCGUUUUGGCGAUCGCAAAAUGAACUCGCUUGAC